GACGAACGCUGGCGGCGUGCUUAACACAUGCAAGUCGAACGGAAAGGCCCUGCUUGUGUGGGGUGCUCGAGUGGCGAACGGGUGAGUAACACGUGAGUAACCUCCCCUUGACUUUGGGAUAACUUCAGGACACUGGGGCUAAUACGGGAUAGGAGCUCUUGAUGCAUGGGGGGGGUUGGAAAGUUUCGUCGGGUGGGGAUGGACUCGCGGCUUAUCUGCUGGUUGGGGGGGGAGGGCCUUACCAAGGCUUUGGUGGGUAGCCGGCCGGGGAGGGUGACCGGCAACAUUGGAACUGAGAUAGGGCCCGACCUCCUACGGGGGGAAGCAGUGGGGAAAAUUGCACAAUGGGCGGAAGCCUGAUGCACGAACGCGGCGUGGGGGAUACCGGCCUUCGGGUUGUAACCCGCUUCCGCAUGGGACGAAGCGUGAGUGACGGUAACGGGAAAAGAAGCACCGGCUAACUACGUG
This 468-nucleotide ribosomal RNA is filed under the name uncultured bacterium. Its description in RNAcentral is "partial 16S ribosomal RNA". It matches the Rfam family "Bacterial small subunit ribosomal RNA", at positions 28 to 507 of the family's 1533-position model. The record is from RNAcentral.